GAUGAAGAACGUAGUGAAAUGCGAUACGUAAUGUGAAUUGCAGAAUUCAGUGAAUCAUCGAGUCUUUGAACGCACAUUGCGCCCCCUGGUAUUCCGGGGGGCAUGCCUGUCCGAGCGUCAUUGCUGCCCUCAAGCACGGCUUGUGUGUUGGGCCUCCGUCCUCCUCCCGGGGGACGGGCCCGAAAGGCAGCGGCGGCACCGCGUCCGGUCCUCGAGCGUAUGGGGCUUCGUCACCCGCUCUUGUAGGCCCGGCCGGCGCUUGCCGACACAUCAAUCUUUUUUCCAGGUUGACCUCGGAUCAGGCAGGGAUACCCGCUGAACUUAAGCAUAUCAAUAAGCGGAGGA
Molecule: unclassified non-coding RNA, 345 nt
Filed under: soil metagenome
Description: partial contains 5.8S ribosomal RNA, internal transcribed spacer 2, and large subunit ribosomal RNA
Rfam family: 5.8S ribosomal RNA (bases 1-120)
Source: RNAcentral